RNAcentral lists this non-coding RNA (104 nucleotides) under Bacillus sp. (in: firmicutes). RNAcentral's name for it is "Bacillus sp. SAM-I sequence". It matches the Rfam family "SAM riboswitch aptamer (S box leader)". Rfam says of the family: The SAM riboswitch is found upstream of a number of genes which code for proteins involved in methionine or cysteine biosynthesis in Gram-positive bacteria. The SAM riboswitch acts at the level of transcription termination control. Lineage: Bacteria; Bacillati; Bacillota; Bacilli; Caryophanales; Bacillaceae. The record is from RNAcentral.
CUCUUAUAAUGAGAAGUGGAGGGACUGGCCCGUUGAAACUUCAGCAACCAUUCAAUGAUUGAAAAGGUGCUACAUCCAGCAAAGGCGACUUUGGCAGAUAAGGG